Long non-coding RNA from Toxorhynchites rutilus septentrionalis, 745 nucleotides. RefSeq lists it as uncharacterized. NCBI's taxonomy places the organism in Eukaryota, Metazoa, Arthropoda, Insecta, Diptera, Culicidae. The record is from RefSeq and is a predicted model, not a curated record. The transcript has 3 exons.
GUGUUAGCUAUUGACGUUUGUUUGUUGUUUUUGAAAUCAAUUCAGAAGUCGGAUGUGAUAUGGAUGCCGAAAUUUUGCUUCUUUAUUUCGCUGCUGUGGAACAAAUUCAAGGAUGCAAGUUUCUGCUCAAAGUGAAGCAAUGGUCACAGGCGUACGAGGUUAUCAUGGAGCAUAUUGUCACGGACUGUGUUAUCAACGUCAACUUCCCUUAUUUGGAAUCACUAUUUACUGAACGAAUUCAAGGAUGUCAAACAAAUCUCCAAAAAGUUCAUCAAAGGGCAGAUUUUGAGCGACUUUAUCGAGCUAAAUGUGAAGUUUGACCUGCUCGGGAUGCUCUCGACGACGAGGUGGCCGAGGCUCUGUUCGAAGAACUCAAGCCCAAACUAUCCGAUCUGUGCUCCGUGAUCAAGAAGUUUCCCUGUCCGACGCCGAAGCAUCGGCUCUGUCAGAGCGAAACCACCCAGCGGUUGGCAUGUCUCAUUCGGCAUUCUCCGCUCAGGAUCUGCGUAUUAACAGCUGUGUGUUCAUGCGAAAUGCGCUCGAAAAGCAGCCUUUUCCCCGGGAGUAUGUGCUCGAGGAAUUGCUGCUUAUGCUAAGCGCGUUUCUGGACGAGGAUUCAACGAGUAUCAAUGAGAUAGUGUUUGAAGGAAAAUUUCAAUGUUAUUUUUAGUUUAGUUUAGAUUAUUACUGCAAUAGGGAAAUAAAAAGACACUCAAGAAUGAAUGAAUGGACACACAUUCUCUUG